Molecule: long non-coding RNA, 1853 nt
Organism: Salvelinus sp. IW2-2015
Lineage: Eukaryota; Metazoa; Chordata; Actinopteri; Salmoniformes; Salmonidae
Source: RefSeq, a predicted model, not a curated record
UACCCUUUGCCAAUGAAAAAAAAAAAGGAGUGCAAAGGCGAAUUGAGUUAUUGCACACGCGCACUUUACAGAGUAGGCAUUCCACAACGGAACUAUGCAAAUGCAUGGUAACCUCUUGUUAGCUCGUGCUUGGCUCUGCCCACUAUGGCUCAUUUGUUUCCCUUUGAAACGACAGGCUGUGGUCUAUGUUGGUCUAGUUCUAAAAAUCUUUGUCUGCUUCUUCUUUAAAUUGAAAGGUGCAUACACCACCACCUACUGGAGUUGCCCUACCAACUAACUCUACACCCAUUAAAACAUCACCAAUAUUCCACUAAUGGCCCCAUCUGAUCCUAGACUAGGCCGGCAGGGUCCGUGUACCUUCUAGACAAUGGCUACCCUACAUUAACCAGGAUGACUAAUAGUGAUUCACCACUCGUUAUCUGUUUUCUUUUAUUUCAAGUUGAUCGAAAUUGACAGAAAGCUACCUUUUUUGUUUUCCGUUUUUCGCUUCAGAUAUCGGAAAACAAGCACUGUCAAGGUAGGCGGGAAAGGAGAGGGUGCGUUUUGAUUUUGUUCCUAGUGUAGUUAACAUAAGCUAACGUUACCGUUAGGGCAGCUAGCUAACCACACAGUCUCAAGUGAGUGUAAUUUGUGUUUGUGGCUAGACAAGCUAGCUAGCUAACGUUAUUGCCUAGCUACAAAUUCACUGUUCUAUGAAGUUUGUGUUCUUAGUUGUGUUUGAUUUGACCGUCUAUUAUUGACCAUGUGUGGUUAAUGUAUGGUCUAUAUAUGAUCAGAGGGAUAUGGGGUGGAGAGGACAUCCCAGCCACUUGACAGUGUUGGCAUUGUUACUUCCUACCUGACGGGUAAGUGGACAUCACUUCUACUUGUGAUGUCAUAUCCUGUUAAGGUACGUUGCCAGCGAGUGCAGGUGGACUCUCCCCUCAACAUGAAGCUCCUGCUGCUCUCGCCCCAAAUACACACAUACACAGGUACACACACACACUAUUAAGAGUGUUCCCCUAUUUACAUGUGUGUGUGUUGGGUAUCAGGUGAGGGAUGAUAAGCCAGUGUUUGAGAAGAGGUGUCUGGUGUGGGAGGACAUGCAGAUUCCCUCAAAGUUCCUGAAGGAGGAGUUGAAGGCGGAGUAUGCAUAGUACUGCAGCAACACUCAGGUCUAUCUGUCUUCAGAGGGAUCUAGGGUGCAGACAGCAGAUGGRGGUGGAGGUGUUUGGGGUGGAGAGGACAGUGGAUUCAGUUGGAGGACAUCCCAGCCACUUGGCAGUGUUGGCACUGCUACUUCCUACCUGACGGGCACCUGGCCACCCGAGUGCAGGUGGGCUCUCUGUCAACAUGAGGCUCUUACUGGUCCUACCCCAAGUACACACAGGAGUUGAAGGUGGAGCAUGCCUUGUACCAGCGGCAGCACCCAGAGCUCCAAGCCAUGAUGGGUCGACGACUUGCAGUUCCUGCUACUACGAAAACUGAGCGAGGUCAUCAUGUUCGCCCGCAAGGAGUUCUUUGCCUCCUGCCAAACCCCGGGUGGCACCCUCAACACCUCCUCACCCUGAGGACACACAUUGUGGCUGCGUCUGUGUCUCAAUAGUCUAGUAGCUUUCUUUGACUGGCACUUUAGAGGACAAUACUAUUCUGGUUAGCACUUGUCACCAGUAUGUACAGAGGCCCUCAAGAUCUAGAGUAUUGAUAAAAUACAAAUGCUUUUAUGGAUGUUUUUUAUUUUGUGAUAAUGUUUUUACUGUCUUGUUUGUAUGAGGUACACUGAAACAAAUUCCUAAUCAACUCUGUUGAUAUGGCAAUCGCAAGAGGCCCAGUUAUGUCAGUUAUUGUGAAUGAAAAUAAAAUGUAUCAUUUCA